CCUACGGGAGGCUGCAGUGGGGAAUAUUGGACAAUGGGGGGAACCCUGAUCCAGCCAUGCCGCGUUUGUGAAGAAGGCCCUCGGGUUGUAAAGCACUUUCAGUGAGGAAGAACGCCUGGUGGUUAAUACCCAUCAGGAAAGACAUCACUCACAGAAGAAGCACCGGCUAACUCCGUGCCAGCAGCCGCGGUAAUACGGAGGGUGCGAGCGUUAAUCGGAAUUACUGGGCGUAAAGCGCGCGUAGGUGGCUUGAUAAGCCGGUUGUGAAAGCCCCGGGCUCAACCUGGGAACGGCAUCCGGAACUGUCAAGCUAGAGUCCAGGAGAGGAAGGUAGCAUUCCCGGUGUAGCGGUGAAAUGCGUAGAGAUCGGGAGGAAUACCAGUGGCGAAGGCGGCCUUCUGGACUGACACUGACACUGAGGUGCGAAAGCGUGGGUAGCAAACAGGAUUAGAUACCCCUGUAGUC
RNAcentral lists this ribosomal RNA (465 nucleotides) under Vreelandella stevensii. RNAcentral's name for it is "partial 16S ribosomal RNA". It matches the Rfam family "Bacterial small subunit ribosomal RNA", at positions 338 to 795 of the family's 1533-position model. The record is from RNAcentral. Lineage: Bacteria; Pseudomonadati; Pseudomonadota; Gammaproteobacteria; Oceanospirillales; Halomonadaceae.